This 721-nucleotide ribosomal RNA is filed under the name Aleurobotrys botryosus. RNAcentral's name for it is "partial 12S ribosomal RNA". The record is from RNAcentral. Lineage: Eukaryota; Fungi; Basidiomycota; Agaricomycetes; Russulales; Stereaceae.
ACUAGCUAACUGAAAUCAGAUUUAGCAAAACGAGAGUUGGGCUAAAUUUGAUAUGUAAGGCAAAAAAUAAUGAUGAAUCCUUACUAUUAGUGUCGCCCAAAUCUAGUGCCAGAAGACUCGGUAAGGCCAGAGACGCAAACGUUAGUCGUCAUUCACCGGCGUAAAGGGUUCGAGGCGGCUUUAAGAUCUCUUUUUUUUAAAAUAGCACCCUUACAGGGUUAAGAAAAGAGACAAUUAACGCUAGACUCAUAAAGAGGUCAUAUUGAUAAUCUAAGACUAUAAGGGGUGAUAUCUUAAGAUACUUGGCGGAAUAUUAAAGGGCGAGGCUUUUUUCUCCAUAACUGAUUGACGCUGAGUUUGUGUGAAAGCUUGGGGUGAAGUUAUUAAGAGGUUAUCUACCUUAAUAUUAAAGUAGGGGUAAAUUGCUUUUUAUGCUAAGCAGCGUGACACUUUAGUUUAAUAUUUAACGAAGGCUGAUUCCUAUGGUUAGGGAAACCGAACUUAUGUAUUUAAAGUAUAUUAAUUAGACAAGUAAUUGUCCUGGUUACUUGUAGGCAAACAUAUUAGUUAAUAUUACAAGUAAGAACCUAAGAGAAUCUAUUGUACAUAUUUAGAACAAGGUAAUGCCUAUAACCAGCAAUUGGAACCUACUAACACAUAGUGGUUUAAUUGCUAGCUUUAUCGCAAGGUAAUGUAUAUGGUUAGAGGUAAAAGGAUUUAG